AAGAAUACUAUCUGUUAGCAAACAGACUCUGUUGUUUUCAAUUUAUUUUCAAUGUUGGAGCUUUCGAAUCGACGAUCGGCACCGUUCAACAUGAUUUAAACCACCGGAAGUAUCUAAAAAUUAAAUUUCAUAUUUUUUUUUCGAUAUUGUUUUCUUGUACACCAAGUGAACACAAAAUUAAACAAGUAAAAAUAAAUAUUCUUCAAAACGUGAUGAUAGGAUUCUUAUUAUCGAGAACAAGAAUAUAGAACUUGUUUUAAAUAGUUUAAAAAAUUUUCUAAAUAAAUUCAGUUGAUUUAGAUUUUUAACACGAUUAAUUCAGCAAACGUCUCAUAUCGACCAUUAAAAUUACAAUUUUUUUGCAAUCCCUUGAUCAUUAGGUCACUAAUAUAGAAAAGAUUUGAAAUUUGAUUUCUAGAUAUUUCAAGCAGCAUAGAUCAUGGUCAACGAUGCCGAUCGUCGAUUUGGAGGCUCCAUCAUCGAAAACAAAUCAGUAAUUACUAAACCCUUUUGCUACUGAUAGUUUUCAACUUACAGGAUUAACUACAUAUCAUUUGUUUUUGGAUGUAAAUAAAAUUAUAAUGUAGAAACCAAUUGUGUUCAUCCAAAUGGUCCAUAAAUAAAGGUGUAGUAGAUAAAUAAUACCUGAAUCAGAAGAGAACAUCAAAAAAUACACCAAAAUAAUUGUCACACAUCUUCUAUCCAUUGUUAUUUUUUUUUUUAACUCUCACCUCUCUCUUUUAUUUGCUAGUAAUUAAAAUUACUCUAAUCAUAUUAUACUCUUUAUAUAUAAUAGAAGGCCUUUUAUACUUAGCAAAAGCUUUAAUGUAGUUAAUAAAUGCAAUAGGAUUAAUUGCACCCUACAAAAGCAAUAACAAAUGGCAAUGGCUAAGAUAUGAUAUCUCUAUUUUGAAGGGUUAGUGAGAUAUGAUAUCUAAAUUUGUCAGAUGCAUUAGAUGUGCUUUAAUUAUUGCACUAACUUUUCAUCUCUUUGAUGAGUUAAUUUCCUCAAGGGAAAUUGAAAAUUAAAAGGAGAAAAUUUAUAUAUAUAUAUAUAUAUAUAUUGUGUGUCAUGUUGUGUAGGGAUUUUAAUUUUCAUAAAGGUGCUUAACUUUUUUAGAUAAUUUCAAGAUAUUCUUUAGUUUAUUUUUUCACAUUGGGUGAAUUUUGAUAUAAAAAAACCCUUUUAUAUUAUCACCAUGCAUCCAUUAUUAUUUUUGGGAUAUUUUUUUUUAAAUAACUAAGUUAAAAUAAUAUGAUUUAUUUGAUAUAUAUGUAUAUGAUAACUUAGUCCAUCUCUUUUGGAAUACACACAAUUCUAUCAUUUUAACCACUCCAAAAAUAUCAUUUUUGAUUUUUACUUAUUAUUUGAUUCUUCCAAAAAAAAAUUGAGAUUGAUAGAUGAUUACUUUGAUGGUACUUUCAUUUUUUAAUAUUUGAUUUUAUUAAAAUUUGAAAAUACAAUUAAAUUGAAUUCAAAUUUGUAUAAAAAAUACAUGAAAAUAUCGAGAAGUCGAAAAAUAGUUGCGGCCAGAUUUUCGAAUUGACUGAAAGUGUCAUUGUACCCGCAAAUUAUACGGGUGCAAAUAGAAUUUAUUCAUAGAUUUUUAGAUAGCUAUCAUUCUUACCCAUACCAGUCUGUAGACGUGUGGGAGAGUAUACGGAUUAUCCACAAAGUAUGAUUUUUUUUUUUUUUCCUUUCUCAUAUUUAUUUUUUACAAAAGAUCAAAAUAUAACUUAUUAUUUUAAAUAUCAUAAUAUACAAAUGAUAAUAAAAAAAAAAAUUGACAUUAGGAGAAACUAGCGUUAGGAUAUUUAGGAAUGGAUAAAACAAAUGGAGUUCUCCUUUUUUUUAUAAUUUUUUAAUAUAAUUUAACAGAUAACCCCUCAUUUUACCUUUUUUUUUUUUUUAGAGAUAAGUAGCAUGCUAUCCGCUUUGUUUAUUUUUAAAAAAAAUAAACUUAGCUGAAAAUGUUUAUUUUUUUAAAAAAUAAACUUAGCUGAAAAUGUCAAUCAACUAAGAUUCGAACUUAGAAUCUCGGAUACCAACCAUCAAGCUCUUUGCCACUUGCGUUAGCUAGGGACGGUCAAUAUUUUACCCAUAUUUUUUUGGAUAAAAAAAAUUAGGGUACGGAUUGAGAUUGCCAAGUCUACCUAAACACUGCUUGAUUAGAUAUUUUUUAAAAAAACUAAAAGUACUAUUUAAAUAGAGUUAUUCAAAACAAUCACAUUAGUAAAAUCCUCAAAACUAUAACUCCAAAAAUAGAACCAAGAAGUAUAUAUCUUAUUUUAUUCUGUUUUUACCUUAUUUGAAUCCUAAUUGGGCCAAAAUUUUUGCAUUCUUUCUAGUUCGAUUAGUAUUACAACAUAUGUACUAGAAUUUCGGUUUUUUUUUUUUCCUCAGAAGUUUAUGGAACUGCCCUAUAUAAUUCACUACAAGAAAAUUAAUAUUUAGUACUAUUUAUUUUAUAUUUAAUGAUACUUAAAAGCUUCUCAAUAUAGUCUAGCGGCACAUUUGAAAGCGUCUAUUAAAAUAUCGGCAAAUGAGAUGCUUUAAAGCGUCGAAUAUUUUUUAGGAUUUUUAAAAUUCUAACAUUUUAAAGCGUCGAAAAAUUAAAAAUAAUAAUAAAUAUUAUCAUUUAAUAAAUUGGUUUGAUACCAUAGCCGGUUCAUACAACGACGCUUUUUGAAGCGUCGAUAUUUGCUAUAUUGUAGGGGCACUUGAGGAGCUAAAAAGCGUCCAAUUUUUUUUGUAGUGUGUAAGGGCGUAAGCUUUAUAAAACCAUAGUUUUUGAAGUUUAAUUAUAAUUAUUAUCUUCUCUUGGAAGAGAGAAGAUAUUCUCUCAUUCAUUUUUCUCUCGGCUUAGUCCUUCAUCUUAAAUAUUAGUCUAAAUUAUAGAAAAACUCCAGGAGAUACAUGCUUUUUCACUUUUUCUUUUUGACUUUUAAAAUUUUAUAUUUUGCCAUCUUAAAAUUUCAAAAAUAUUUAGGAGGGUACGAUGUUAAUGGAGAAGACAAAGUGACUAACUUGCUCUUACUUCUUCAAUAAGAAAAAAAAUAUUUUUUAAUAUAUUUCUGUUAUUUUGCAGAGCAUUUUUCGGUAUAAAUUAUAAGAAAUAGAUGAAAUAGUGAUGAAACCACGAUGGAGAGGCUCAAUACAAUAACUUCAAAUAUUGAGAGGGUAAAAUAUAGAUUUUUAAAAGUUAAGGAGGAAAAUUAAAAACAGGUAUUCAUAAGAGAAUUUUUUGUAAUUUAGUCUAAAUGUUAGAAAAUAUUAAUUUUAUAAGAGAGUUGAAACCCAGAGAGAGAGAGAGAGAGAAAGAGAGAGAGAGAGAGAGAGAGAGAGAGAUGUAGUAUCAUAUGUACCAUCAACUCAUACAUUCAUAUAUUUCAUAGAGUUCCUUCUCCCACAACAUCAUUAGCUCAUACACACAUGAUAAUCAAACAUAUAAUUAAGAGCCAAUAUUGUUUGUCAUUGUUAUUAUUAUUCAAUAAGGUUCCCUUUUCCUUCUCCUUUUUUUAAUUCCUUUUUUGCCCCCACUCAUGCAUGCAUGCAUUCUCCCAAAAGGAGCAACAAAUUAUAUAACAAACUUAAGAAGUGCAUAAAUAUAUAUGAAACCAUCAUCCUAAUGCUUUUUUGCAUGUAAAACAAUAGCAUGCAGUCCAAAACCCCUUGCACUCACCACCAACAUUGCCAUUCAACACACAUAAUGCUGAGCAGAUCUUGUUCAAGCAUGGCCCAAUGUAUAACUUCAUUUUGGCCUCAGUGCAAUCCCCCUCAUCAGUGCCCUUCACCAUCCCUAUAUUUAUACACACAUGCAACCAACUAUUUCAUUAUAACAAGUAGAGUUAGAUGUCAAAAAAAAAAAUAGUACAAAAGUAUUACAAAGGCUAAAUUACAAGAAAUCUUCUUAUAAAUAACUGUUUUUUCAUUUUUCCUCUCUAUCUGUAACGCCCUAACUUUUUAGAGGAUCACCCAUCUUAGGAAUAUUACUCACGUCCUAGCACACUUAACACUCUUAAUCUCUUGGGUCUUGCCACUACCCAAAAUACUUAAAUCGGGUUAAGAGUUCUAGCCCUAUUAUAUCUUUUAUAUAGAACUAUCUGGGGUUUCACAAUCUUCUCCCUUUAAGCCAUGACGUUCUCGUCAAGCUCAGACUCUCAAGUAUCAGGCGAUGUGAGACUCGUUUCGCUAGCCUUGUCAUUACGAUCCUGGCUUAGCCGAAACUCAACUCACACUUCCGGCUGGUAAUUGAUUCUGAUACCAACUGUGACGCCCCAACUUCCCAGGGGGUCACUCAUCCUAGGACAACUCCCGUUCUAGCACACUUAACUUUCAUAACCUCUUGGGCCUUUCCACAUACCACUCAAAAUGGUUAAAUCGGGUUAAGAGUUCUAGCCCUAUUAUAUCUUUUACAUAAGACUAUCUUGUGAAACAACCGUUGUACUCUAAAAACUAAAAGCUUAAGCUUUUAGAGUACAACAGUUGUUUCACAUGGUAUCAGAACAGGAGGUCCUGAGUUCGAGUCACGCCAGGCUCCUAGCAUAUUAAUUUCCUCCCAUUUAAUUCAAGCCCACGUCAUGGGCCGAUUAAAAAGUCUCGAGCCCAGACGUGAGGGGAGUGUUAAAUAUAAAAAUAUUUAAACACCGUUCUCUAACAGCUUAAGCUUUUAGAGUACAAUGGUUGUUUCAUAUAUCUAGGGUCUCACACUAUCUUUCAAAAACCUAUAUUUUACCCUCUCAAUAUUUCAAGUUGCUGCAUUAAUUAGCCCCCCCGCCCCCNNNNNNNNNNNNNNNNNNNNNNNNNCCUUUCGUCAGGGUUCCAUCACUAUCCCGCUCAUUUUUUAUAAUUUGUACCGAAAAUGCACAUCUAAAUGGUAGAAAUAUAUUAAAAUUUUAUUUUUGCCUUAUAAAAGAAAUAGGGUAAUUUGGUUACUUUGUCAUCUUCAUUAACAUCGUACCCCCAUGAAAAUAUUUUUGAAAUUUUAAGAAGGUAUGUAAAAUAUAGAUUUUUAAAAGUUAGAGAGGAAAAGUGAAAAAAUGGGUAUUUUCAGAAAGUUUUCUGUAAUUUAGACAAAGUAUUAAGUAUGUCAUGUUAAGAAAGGCAUGCAUGGUAAAAGAAUUACUUCCAUUAUAUAAGAUGCAUAAAUUAAUUUUGGGGUAAACUUCAGUUGAUCAGCGCUCCAUGGUUUAGCGCAUUUUCACUUCGCCGCUCUACAAUUUAAAAAGUUGCGCUAGCUUAAUCACUUUGUGAUUUUAUUUUUGUUUUACCGUAAGAAUCUACUGUUAAACAGAGUAGUAAGGUGAUACUAUUUACAGAAUUGCAAUAUAUAUAUAUAUAUAUAUAUAUAUAUAUAUAUAUAUAUAUAUAUAUAUAUAUAUAUAUAUAUAUAUAUAUAUAUAUAUAUAAACAUUAAUUUCAGCUUAUAUAUUUUGUGUUAGCCAUAAAAGUCAUCAAUUAAGCGAGCAAACAUCAGUCCGACUCAGCUCGAAUUAGAUUAAGAGAAAGCUCGAGCUUGCAAGAAGCUAGAGAGAUCUGAGCUCGAAAUCGGCUCAUCAAUUAAGCAAGAUAACUCGAGCUCAUUAGAUUAGUUCGGAAAAAUUAGUCAAAAUCUUACAAAUUCCAAGAGCGAACAGUCAAAGUGACAAUUGAAAUCGUACUAAAUCAUCGGUACCACAAUCUUAAGACNCAGAAUGAUAAUUUAACUGUUAGAGCUAAUAAAUAUUUUAAAUAUAAUUUUAAACAUAUAAAUUAAAAAGAUUAGAAUUAUUGGUGAGAAAAAAAAUAGUUAGGAAUUUGAAUUCGAAUCUCACUAACAAUCACAAAACUUAUUUCCGAACUCGACAGAUUUCGAAAAUCCAUAUCCAAAUUCAAAACUGACCAAUUUUCCGAAACCCAAAACCAAACCUAAACCAGAAGACUAAAAUUCAAACAAUUAUUUCUAUUUAUCAUAUUUCAAAGUAUUUAUAUGAAACUUAAAUUUUUAAAAU
RNAcentral lists this long non-coding RNA (5991 nucleotides) under Ananas comosus (pineapple). RNAcentral describes it as "long non-coding RNA (ACOM_LNC030129)". The record is from RNAcentral. Lineage: Eukaryota; Viridiplantae; Streptophyta; Magnoliopsida; Poales; Bromeliaceae.